Molecule: ribosomal RNA, 496 nt
Filed under: uncultured bacterium
Lineage: Bacteria
Description: partial 16S ribosomal RNA
Rfam family: Bacterial small subunit ribosomal RNA
Source: RNAcentral
AUGCACGCUGGCGGCGUGCCUAAUCCCUGCCAGUCGAGCGCACAGAUGAGGAGCUUGCUCCUCUGACGUUAGCGGCGGACGGGUGAGUAACACGUGGAUAACCUACCUAUAAGACUGGGAUAACUUCGGGAAACCGGAGCUAAUACCGGAUAAUAUAUUGAACCGCAUGGUUCAAUAGUGAAAGACGGUUUUGCUGUCACUUAUAGAUGGAUCCGCGCCGCAUUAGCUAGUUGGUAAGGUAACGGCUUACCAAGGCAACGAUGCGUAGCCGACCUGAGAGGGUGAUCGGCCACACUGGAACUGAGACACGGUCCAGACUCCUACGGGAGGCAGCAGUAGGGAAUCUUCCGCAAUGGGCGAAAGCCUGACGGAGCAACGCCGCGUGAGUGAUGAAGGUCUUCGGAUCGUAAAACUCUGUUAUUAGGGAAGAACAAAUGUGUAAGUAACUAUGCACGUCUUGACGGUACCUAAUCAGAAAGCCACGGCUAACUACGUG